Molecule: non-coding RNA, 207 nt
Organism: Oryza glaberrima (African rice)
Lineage: Eukaryota; Viridiplantae; Streptophyta; Magnoliopsida; Poales; Poaceae
Source: Rfam
AAUAAGUGUAGUUUUGCACUAUUUACGUUUAACGUUUGACCGUUCGUCUUAUUUAAAAUUUUUUUAUGAUUAGUAUUUUUAUUGUAUUAGAUGAUAAAACAUGAAUAGUACUUUAUGUGUGACUAAAUAUUUUCAAUAUUUUCACAAAUUUUUUAAAUAAGAUAGACGGUUAAAUGUUUGGCACGAAUAUCCACGGCUGCACUUAUU